Molecule: ribosomal RNA, 704 nt
Filed under: Corynebacterium sp. MU2
Lineage: Bacteria; Bacillati; Actinomycetota; Actinomycetes; Mycobacteriales; Corynebacteriaceae
Description: bacterial SSU rRNA
Rfam family: Bacterial small subunit ribosomal RNA
Source: RNAcentral
UGUGAAAUUCCGGGGCUUAACUCCGGGCGUGCAGGCGAUACGGGCAUAACUUGAGUGCUGUAGGGGAGACUGGAAUUCCUGGUGUAGCGGUGAAAUGCGCAGAUAUCAGGAGGAACACCAAUGGCGAAGGCAGGUCUCUGGGCAGUAACUGACGCUGAGGAGCGAAAGCAUGGGUAGCGAACAGGAUUAGAUACCCUGGUAGUCCAUGCCGUAAACGGUGGGCGCUAGGUGUGGGGGUCUUCCACGACUUCUGUGCCGUAGCUAACGCAUUAAGCGCCCCGCCUGGGGAGUACGGCCGCAAGGCUAAAACUCAAAGGAAUUGACGGGGGCCCGCACAAGCGGCGGAGCAUGUGGAUUAAUUCGAUGCAACGCGAAGAACCUUACCUGGGCUUGACAUAUGCCGGAUCGGCGCAGAGAUGCGUUUUCCCUUGUGGUCGGUAUACAGGUGGUGCAUGGUUGUCGUCAGCUCGUGUCGUGAGAUGUUGGGUUAAGUCCCGCAACGAGCGCAACCCUUGUCUUGUGUUGCCAGCACGUUAUGGUGGGGACUCGCGAGAGACUGCCGGGGUUAACUCGGAGGAAGGUGGGGAUGACGUCAAAUCAUCAUGCCCCUUAUGUCCAGGGCUUCACACAUGCUACAAUGGUCGGUACAGUGGGUUGCUACACCGUGAGGUGGUGCUAAUCCCUUAAAGCCGGUCUCAGUUCGG